This 402-nucleotide ribosomal RNA is filed under the name bacterium. RNAcentral describes it as "partial 16S ribosomal RNA". It matches the Rfam family "Bacterial small subunit ribosomal RNA", at positions 355 to 776 of the family's 1533-position model. The record is from RNAcentral.
UGGGGAAUUUUGCACAAUGGGGGAAACCCUGAUGCAGCGACGCCGCGUGAUUUAGAAGGCCUUCGGGUUGUAAAAAUCUUUUCUAUGGGAAGAAAAUGACAGUACCAUAGGAAUAAGGACCGGCUAAUUACGUGCCAGCAGCCGCGGUAAUACGUAAGGUCCGAGCGUUGUCCGGAAUCAUUGGGCGUAAAGGGUACGUAGGCGGGUAAGCAAGUUAGAAGUGAAAUCCUAUAGCUCAACUAUAGUAAGCUUUUAAAACUGCUCAUCUUGAGGUAUGGAAGGGAAAGUGGAAUUCCUAGUGUAGCGGUGAAAUGCGCAGAUAUUAGGAGGAAUACCGGUGGCGAAGGCGACUUUCUGGCCAUAGCCUGACGCUGAUGUACGAAAGCGUGGGUAGCAAACAGG